RNAcentral lists this ribosomal RNA (484 nucleotides) under uncultured bacterium. RNAcentral's name for it is "partial 16S ribosomal RNA". It matches the Rfam family "Bacterial small subunit ribosomal RNA", at positions 30 to 507 of the family's 1533-position model. The record is from RNAcentral.
AUUGAACGCUGGCGGAAUGCUUUACACAUGCGAGUCGAGCGGCAGCACGGGGGCAACCCUGGUGGCGAGCGGCGAACGGGUGAGUAAUACAUCGGAACAUGCCCAGUCGUGGGGGAUAACACUUCGAAAGAAGUGCUAAUACCGCAUACGUCCUGAGGCGGAAAGCGGGGGAUCGCAAGACCUCGCGCGAUUGGAGUGGCCGAUGUCAGAUUAGCUAGUUGGUGGGGUAAAGGCCUACCAAGGCAACGAUCUGUAGCUGGUCUGAGAGGAUGAUCAGCCACGCUGGGACUGAGACACGGCCCAGACUCCUACGGGAGGCAGCAGUGGGGAAUUUUGGACAAUGGGGGCAACCCCGAUCCAGCCAUUCCGCGUGAGUGAAGAAGGCCUUCGGGUUGUAAAGCUCUUUCGGCAGGAACGAAACGGUGAGCUCUAACAUAGCUUGCUAAUGACGGUACCUGAAUAAGAAGCACCGGCUAACUACGUG